Molecule: ribosomal RNA, 253 nt
Filed under: uncultured bacterium
Lineage: Bacteria
Description: partial 16S ribosomal RNA
Rfam family: Bacterial small subunit ribosomal RNA
Source: RNAcentral
UACGUAGGUGGCAAGCGUUGUCCGGAUUUACUGGGCGUAAAGCGCGCGCAGGCGGUUCGGUACGUCCGGCGUGAAAGCUCCCGGCUCAACUGGGAGAGGGCGUUGGAUACGGCCGGGCUGGAGGGCGGUAGAGGGCGGUGGAAUUCCCGGUGUAGUGGUGAAAUGCGUAGAGAUCGGGAGGAACACCUGUGGCGAAGGCGGCCGACUGGGCCGUCCCUGACGCUGAGGCGCGAAAGCGUGGGGAGCGAACCGG